AGAGUUUGAUCAUGGCUCAGAACGAACGCUGGCGGCAUGCCUAAUACAUGCAAGUCGAACGCGCCUAGCGAUAGGCGAGUGGCGGACGGGUGAGUAACGCGUGGGAACCUGCCCUUGAGUGCGGGAUAACCGAGGGAAACUUCGGCUAAUACCGCAUGCGCCCCGAGCAAUCGGGGGAAAGAUUUAUCGCUCGAGGAGGGGCCCGCGUCGGAUUAGCUAGUUGGUGGGGUAACGGCCUACCAAGGCGAUGAUCCGUAGCUGGUCUGAGAGGAUGAUCAGCCACACUGGGACUGAGACACGGCCCAGACUCCUACGGGAGGCAGCAGUAGGGAAUAUUGGACAAUGGGGGCAACCCUGAUCCAGCAAUGCCGCGUGAGUGAUGAAGGCCUUAGGGUUGUAAAGCUCUUUCGCGCGCGACGAUGAUGACGGUAGCGCGAGAAGAAGCCCCGGCUAACUUCGUGCCAGCAGCCGCGGUAAUACGAAGGGGGCGAGCGUUGUUCGGAAUUACUGGGCGUAAAGGGCGCGCAGGCGGCCUAACAAGUCAGGCGUGAAAGCCCCGGGCUUAACCUGGGAAUUGCGCUUGGGACUGAUAGGCUAGAGUACGGGAGAGGAGAGUGGAAUUCCCAGUGUAGAGGUGAAAUUCGUAGAUAUUGGGAAGAACACCGGUGGCGAAGGCGGCUCUCUGGACCGUAACUGACGCUGAGGCGCGAAAGCGUGGGGAGCAAACAGGAUUAGAUACCCCGGUAGUCC
This 750-nucleotide ribosomal RNA is filed under the name uncultured bacterium. RNAcentral's name for it is "bacterial SSU rRNA". It matches the Rfam family "Bacterial small subunit ribosomal RNA", at positions 8 to 796 of the family's 1533-position model. The record is from RNAcentral.